RNAcentral lists this ribosomal RNA (507 nucleotides) under uncultured fungus. Its description in RNAcentral is "SSU rRNA". It matches the Rfam family "Eukaryotic small subunit ribosomal RNA", at positions 569 to 1078 of the family's 1831-position model. The record is from RNAcentral. Lineage: Eukaryota; Fungi.
AGCAGCCGCGGUAAUUCCAGCUCCAAUAGCGUAUAUUGAAGUUGCUGCAGUUAAAAAGCUCGUAGUUGAAUUUCGGGACCAUCAUGUCGGUCGUGCCUCGGUACGUACUGGUAUUGUUGGUUUCUCCCUUCUGACGAACCAUGAUGUCAUUUAUUUGGUGUUGUGGGGAAUCAGGACUGUUACUUUGAAAAAAUUAGAGUGUUUAAAGCAGGCUCACGCUUGAAUACAUUAGCAUGGAAUAAUGAAAUAGGACGUUUGAUUCUAUUUUGUUGGUUUCUAGGAUCGACGUAAUGAUUAAUAGGGAUAGUUGGGGGCAUUAGUAUUCAAUUGUCAGAGGUGAAAUUCUUGGAUUUAUUGAAGACUAACUACUGCGAAAGCAUUUGCCAAGGAUGUUUUCAUUAAUCAAGAACGAAAGUUAGGGGAUCGAAGACGAUCAGAUACCGUCGUAGUCUUAACCAUAAACUAUGCCGACUAGGGAUCGGAUGAUGUUAAUUUUUUAAUGACUCA